This 460-nucleotide ribosomal RNA is filed under the name uncultured bacterium. RNAcentral's name for it is "partial 16S ribosomal RNA". It matches the Rfam family "Bacterial small subunit ribosomal RNA", at positions 338 to 795 of the family's 1533-position model. The record is from RNAcentral.
CCUACGGGAGGCAGCAGUGGGGAAUAUUGGUCAAUGGGCGAGAGCCUGAACCAGCAAAGUCGCGUGAAGGAUGACGGCUCUACGGGUGGAAAACUUCUUUUGUCAGGGAGCAAUUGAGUCCACGUGUGGGCUUAGCGAGAGUACCUGAAGAAAAAGCAUCGGCUAACUCCGUGCCAGCAGCCGCGGUAAUACGGAGGAUGAGAGCGUUAUCCGGAUUUAUUGGGUUAAAGGGGUGCGUGGGCGGAAUAUCAAGUCAGCGGUAAAAAUUCGGGGCUAAACCCCGUCGUGCCGUUGAAACUGAUGUUCUUGAGUGGGCGAGAGGUAUGCGGAAUGCGUGGUGUAGCGGUGAAAUGCGUAGAUAUCACGCAGAACUCCGAUUGCGAAGGCAGCAUACCGGCGCCCAACUGACGCUGAAGCACGAAAGCGUGGGUAGCGAACAGGAUUAGAUACCCUUGUAGUC